This 24-nucleotide microRNA is filed under the name Ananas comosus (pineapple). RNAcentral describes it as "microRNA s0140_c057". Lineage: Eukaryota; Viridiplantae; Streptophyta; Magnoliopsida; Poales; Bromeliaceae. The record is from RNAcentral.
CUGGGGUUAACCUUUUAAAAGCUC